This 400-nucleotide long non-coding RNA is filed under the name Phoenix dactylifera (date palm). RNAcentral describes it as "long non-coding RNA (PDAC_LNC009047)". The record is from RNAcentral. Lineage: Eukaryota; Viridiplantae; Streptophyta; Magnoliopsida; Arecales; Arecaceae.
ACCCAACACAAGAUCAUUCAAGAGAGAAGAAAGAAAAAGAGGUUCAAGGGAGUUAGUGCAUUCAAGUGAAGAAAUCAAGUGCCUUCAAGCUUCCCAAGUGAUUUCGUGCUCAACUACUCUCUUCCGCUAGGCAUUCAAAGUUCACAUUCAAGCCAACGCGAUCCACAUCGGAAGAACCACCAUUUCCCACGCUUCCAACGGCUAAAAGGGUUCUUCCGGAUUUCAUUGUUUAUCAUUGUUAUAUUUGCUUAUUUAGAGCUUUCAAAUCUUUUGUAAAACUUUUUCAAUAUUGUGCUUGUUCCAGUCAAGGGACUUGGAACAAGGGAAAGGCGUCCCAAGCCUAGGUGAAAUUGGGGGUUUUAGGGUUCGUUGUUAGCCCGGUGUAAAACAACGAGUUGGG